RNAcentral lists this transfer RNA (87 nucleotides) under Geminella minor. RNAcentral describes it as "tRNA-Ser". It matches the Rfam family "tRNA". From Rfam's summary of the family: Transfer RNA (tRNA) molecules are approximately 80 nucleotides in length. Their secondary structure includes four short double-helical elements and three loops (D, anti-codon, and T loops). Further hydrogen bonds mediate the characteristic L-shaped molecular structure. tRNAs have two regions of fundamental functional importance: the anti-codon, which is responsible for specific mRNA codon recognition, and the 3' end, to which the tRNAs corresponding amino acid is attached (by aminoacyl-tRNA synthetases). tRNAs cope with the degeneracy of the genetic code in two manners: having more than one tRNA (with a specific anti-codon) for a particular amino acid; and 'wobble' base-pairing, i.e. permitting non-standard base-pairing at the 3rd anti-codon position. RNAcentral also lists the same sequence under 1 other name. Lineage: Eukaryota; Viridiplantae; Chlorophyta; Trebouxiophyceae; Chlorellales; Chlorellaceae. The record is from RNAcentral.
GGAGAGAUGACCGAGAGGUCUAAGGUAACGCAUUGCUAAUGCGUCGUAUGAGAAAUCAUACCGAGGGUUCGAAUCCCUCUCUCUCCG